This 473-nucleotide ribosomal RNA is filed under the name uncultured bacterium. RNAcentral describes it as "bacterial SSU rRNA". It matches the Rfam family "Bacterial small subunit ribosomal RNA", at positions 355 to 825 of the family's 1533-position model. The record is from RNAcentral.
UGGGGAAUAUUGGACAAUGGGCGAAAGCCUGAUCCAGCCAUGCCGCGUGUGUGAAGAAGGUCUUCGGAUUGUAAAGCACUUUAAGUUGGGAGGAAGGGCAGUAAAUUAAUACUUUGCUGUUUUGACGUUACCGACAGAAUAAGCACCGGCUAACUCUGUGCCAGCAGCCGCGGUAAUACAGAGGGUGCAAGCGUUAAUCGGAAUUACUGGGCGUAAAGCGCGCGUAGGUGGUUCGUUAAGUUGGAUGUGAAAUCCCCGGGCUCAACCGUGGGAACUGCAUUCAAAACUGACGAGCUAGAGUAUGGUAGAGGGUGGUGGAAUUUCCUGUGUAGCGGUGAAAUGCGUAGAUAUAGGAAGGAACACCAGUGGCGAAGGCGACCACCUGGACUGAUACUGACACUGAGGUGCGAAAGCGUGGGGAGCAAACAGGAUUAGAUACCCCCGUAGUCCCUGAGCGGGCUGGCAAGGCGCAU